GACGAACGCUGGCGGCGUGCUUAACACAUGCAAGUCGAACGCUGAAGCUCAGCUUGCUGGGUGGAUGAGUGGCGAACGGGUGAGUAACACGUGAGUAACCUGCCCUCUUCUUUGGGAUAACGCCCGGAAACGGGUGCUAAUACUGGAUAUUCACUGAUUCUCGCAUGGGGGUUGGUGGAAAGGUUUGUUCUGGUGGGGGAUGGGCUCGCGGCCUAUCAGCUUGUUGGUGGGGUGAUGGCCUACCAAGGCUUUGACGGGUAGCCGGCCGGAGAGGGUGACCGGUCACAUUGGGACUGGGACACGGCCCAGACGCGUACGGGAGGCAGCAGUGGGGGAUAUUGCACAAUGGGCGAAAGCCUGAUGCGGCGACGCCGCGUGAGGGAUGGAGGCCUUCGGGUUGUAAACCUCUUUCGCUCAUGGUCAAGCCGCAGCUUUGGGUUGUGGUGAGGGUAGUGGGUAAAGAAGCGCCGGCUAACUACGUG
This 482-nucleotide ribosomal RNA is filed under the name uncultured bacterium. RNAcentral's name for it is "partial 16S ribosomal RNA". It matches the Rfam family "Bacterial small subunit ribosomal RNA", at positions 28 to 507 of the family's 1533-position model. The record is from RNAcentral.